RNAcentral lists this long non-coding RNA (889 nucleotides) under Homo sapiens (human). RNAcentral's name for it is "HSALNT0267962". Lineage: Eukaryota; Metazoa; Chordata; Mammalia; Primates; Hominidae. The record is from RNAcentral.
GUUGUCUCUAUGGGUAAAUCAUUGCUGUCCUUCAAGUGUGAGAAUGGAAUUCUAGAAAAUGCCACCUGCCCGCUCUGAUCCCGAUGAAGCAUCACAGCACAGAGAUGUCAUUGACAAACUGGUUGAGAAGAGUUACCAACGCAUCAGGUAUUUUAGAAGAGGAAAUCAGGACACAGAAAUGCACAGAGGGAAGGCUGUGUGAAGAGGAGACGGCCAUCUACAGACCAAGGAGGGGGCCUCAGAAGAAACCAACUCUGCCAGCACCUUGAUCAUAGGCCUCCAGCCUCCAGCACUAAAAUGAUAUUGAUGAGAAAAGACAAUCAAAGAGUCUGGCCAAAAGGGAAAAUGACAAUCAAGUUUUUUCCUACAGGAGCUAAAACAUUCAGGCCAUUUCAAAUUUUGUUGUGAAGUAAGUAACUAGUUUUUUUUUUUGAUCUUUUUUUUUUUUUUUUUGAGAUGGAGUCUUGCUCUGUCGCCCAGGCUCGAGUGCAGUGGUGUAAUCUCGGCUCACUGCAACUUCCACCUCUUGGGUUCAAGAGAUUCGCUCUUGCCUCAGCCUCCCAAGUAGCUGGGAUUACAGGCACGUGCCUCCAUAACCAGCUAAUUUUUCUGUUUCUAGUAGAGAUGGGGUUUCACCAUGUUGUCUAGGCUGGUCUUGAACUCCUGACCUCAGGUGAUCCGCCUACCUUGGCCUCCCAAUGUGCUGAGAUUAUAGGUGUGAGUAGCUAGUCUUAAAUACUCACUAAAUUGAUGACACUUCAAGCAGGCCAGACAAUUAGUUAAUUAAUAAAAAUAUUGUGUUGUUUUUAUGGGAUUUUGUGGGUUUUGCCAUAACAAAGUAAUUGGUUGUUAUUUAGCUUUUCUAGAUAAAUGUUUACUUUCAUGCCUA